GAUGAACGCUGGCGGCGUGCUUAAUACAUGCAAGUCGAGCGGUAAGGCUUUCACAGUUUGCUUAAACGUUUUAAUCCCUAGAUCUAGGCUAGAUCUGAGGCAGUUUGAGCAAUGUGUGAAAGUACACGAGCGGCGGACGGGUGAGUAACGCGUAAGAAUGUACCCCAAAGUGAGGGAUAAGCACCAGAAAUGGUGUCUAAUACCGCAUGUGCUCUUCGGAGUAAAGCUUUAUGCGCUUUGGGAACAGCUUGCGUCUGAUUAGCUAGUUGGUAAGGUAACGGCUUACCAAGGCGACGAUCAGUAGCUGGUCUGAGAGGAUGACCAGCCACACUGGGACUGAGACACGGCCCAGACUCCUACGGGAGGCAGCAGUAGGGAAUUUUCCACAAUGGGCGAGAGCCUGAUGGAGCAACGCCGCGUGAUGGAUGAAGGCCUUAGGGUCGUAAACAUCUUUUCUCUGUGACGAAUAUGACGGUAGCAGAGGAAUAAGGAUCGGCUAACUACGUGCCAGCCGCCGCAGUAAGAC
RNAcentral lists this ribosomal RNA (526 nucleotides) under uncultured bacterium. Its description in RNAcentral is "bacterial SSU rRNA". It matches the Rfam family "Bacterial small subunit ribosomal RNA", at positions 28 to 526 of the family's 1533-position model. The record is from RNAcentral.